Molecule: ribosomal RNA, 675 nt
Filed under: Sarocladium strictum
Lineage: Eukaryota; Fungi; Ascomycota; Sordariomycetes; Hypocreales; Sarocladiaceae
Description: partial large subunit ribosomal RNA
Rfam family: Eukaryotic large subunit ribosomal RNA
Source: RNAcentral
UGCCUCAGUAACGGCGAGUGAAGCGGCAACAGCUCAAAUUUGAAAUCUGGCCUCACGGUCCGAGUUGUAAUUUGUAGAGGAUGCUUUUGGCGAGGUGCUUUCCGAGUUCCCUGGAACGGGACGCCAUAGAGGGUGAGAGCCCCGUACGGUAAGACCACCGAGCCUCUGUAAAGCUCCUUCGACGAGUCGAGUAGUUUGGGAAUGCUGCUCUAAAUGGGAGGUGUACGUCUUCUAAAGCUAAAUACCGGCCAGAGACCGAUAGCGCACAAGUAGAGUGAUCGAAAGAUGAAAAGCACUUUGAAAAGAGGGUUAAAAAGUACGUGAAAUUGUUGAAAGGGAAGCAUUCAUGACCAGACUUGGGCUUGGUUGAACAUCCGGCGUUCUCGCCGGUGCACUCUGCCAGUCCAGGCCAGCAUCAGUUUGCCCCGGGGGACAAAGGCGGUGGGAAUGUGGCUCCCUUCGGGGAGUGUUAUAGCCCGCCGUGUAAUGCCCUGGGGCGGACUGAGGAACGCGCUUCGGCACGGAUGCUGGCGUAAUGGUCAUCAAUGACCCGUCUUGAAACACGGACCAAGGAGUCGUCUUCGUAUGCGAGUGUUCGGGUGUCAAACCCCUACGCGUAAUGAAAGUGAACGUAGGUGAGAGCUUCGGCGCAUCACCGACCGAUCCUGAUGUUCU